Molecule: ribosomal RNA, 434 nt
Filed under: uncultured bacterium
Lineage: Bacteria
Description: bacterial SSU rRNA
Rfam family: Bacterial small subunit ribosomal RNA
Source: RNAcentral
UGAGGAAUAUUGGUCAAUGGGCGGGAGCCUGAACCAGCCAAGCCGCGUGAGGGAAGAAGGCCCUAUGGGUCGUAAACCUCUUUUGUCAGGGAACAAAAGCGAGUAUGUAUACUGGUCUGAGUGUACCUGAAGAAAAAGCAUCGGCUGACUCCGUGCCAGCAGCCGCGGUAAUACGGAGGAUGCGAGCGUUAUCCGGAUUUAUUGGGUUUAAAGGGUGCGUAGGCGGCGGUGCAAGUCAGCGGUAAAAGCCCGGGGGCUCAACCCCGGCGAGCCGUUGAAACUGCAGUGCUAGAGAAGGCGAGAGGUACGCGGAAUGCGCAGUGUAGCGGUGAAAUGCUUAGAUAUUGCGCAGAACUCCGAUUGCGAAGGCAGCGUACUGGCGCCUGACUGACGCUGAGGCACGAAAGCGUGGGGAUCGAACAGGAUUAGAUACC